UACGGAGGGUGCAAGCGUUGCUCGGAAUUACUGGGCGUAAAGCGUACGCAGGCUGUUCGUUAAGUCGGGUGUGAAAGCCCGGGGCUCAACCCCGGAAUUGCGCCCGAAACUGACGAGCUUGAGUGCGGGAGAGGGAAGCGGAAUUCCUGGUGUAGAGGUGAAAUUCGUAGAUAUCAGGAGGAACACCGGUGGCGAAAGCGGCGUUCUGGACUGCAACUGACACUGAGAGACGAAAGCCAGGGGAGCAAACGGG
This 253-nucleotide ribosomal RNA is filed under the name uncultured bacterium. Its description in RNAcentral is "partial 16S ribosomal RNA". It matches the Rfam family "Bacterial small subunit ribosomal RNA", at positions 524 to 776 of the family's 1533-position model. The record is from RNAcentral.